RNAcentral lists this long non-coding RNA (1420 nucleotides) under Monodelphis domestica (gray short-tailed opossum). Its description in RNAcentral is "lncRNA (ENSMODG00000039938.1)". Lineage: Eukaryota; Metazoa; Chordata; Mammalia; Didelphimorphia; Didelphidae. The record is from RNAcentral.
CCCCCAUUGCCUACCCUUUAGCACCCUUUUACCUUGGAACCAAUACACAGUAUUGAUUUUAAGACAGAAGGGAAGGGUUUAAAAAAAGAAAAAGAAAAGAUCUUAUCCAUUCCAAUAAAAGUUUUAGCUUCCUUUUUACUUUUAACUCAUUAAGACUCAAUUUAUUUAUGGUCUCUUUUUUAAUAUUCAUUAUGGAAUGCAAAAUAGUUUCUCUUGUUUGCAUCUAUACCAUGGAAAUAACCCAUGUAGAGAAGUGAACAGUACUAACCUAUCAUGAUUCCAAAUGUUUCAGAUUCACAGCCAGCCAUCGAAUCCAAUCUGUGCUUGAACAGAGUGAAGAAUCUCUUCUCCAACACAGAUGAAAUUAAUUCAAAGACAGGUCCAUGAGAAAGUUAACCAGGACUUGACAAAAAGCAAGCCAUCAAAGCAGGUCGAGAGAUUGAAGAAGAGGAAAGAGAAGUCUUCAACCAAAGGCUCAAGGAAUGCACCCAAAGAAAAACCAGGUCAGAAAGGUCCAUAGACCAGGAGAAGGGUAAGAACAAGAGAGAGGUGAGGGCCAGGAGAGCUGGUCAGAGGCGUGAAAGGCUGACUGAAAGCUUUGAAUGGGAAAGUUUUGAGUUGGAGUGUGAGAGCCUGAGUGUUCAAUUGAGAGUCUGAGUAACUGCUUUAAGUUGAUUAAAAGAGAGAAAGUUUCUUCAUGAAUUGAGAUACAAUGGUUUGAGGUUUAAAUGGUUACAAAGUUUUGCAAAAAGCUUCUCAUAGAAGCUUAAGAACUUAAGUUGUGGAUUUCUACUCAAAUUUUUCUGUGGGCUUUUGCUUGUAUUAUAUGUGUAAUGGAUUUCUUAGGCUGAGAUGCUAAUAAUCUCAAAUGCUUGUGAUUUAAAUGUAAGCAAAUAAUGUCUGUAAGUUGUGUUAAUGGAUUCCUCCCAAAAGCUGAAGAGGCGAGACCAGAGCUGGUGAUCCAGCGGGAGGCAAAAGGAGGUUCAGAAAUUCUUAACUUUAAGGCCUAAUUUUUCUUCCCAAAGUUUUGGUCUUCUUAACGUAUGAAAUAUUGUGUAUCAAGCACAGUUAAUAUUGGUAAUAAGAUGCAUUUUAUUCUAGGUACUAACCAGGUUUUUUGAGUGCUACAAUUUCAGUCUUUUUCAAGCUGUUAAUUGUUUUCAAAUAGGAAGGUAUGUGUGAGUUCUGGAGUAAAGAAAGUUCAUUUUAGGAUGGUUAACUACAGACCUGACUGGUCAUUGAAUUGGUGUAAAUGACAAGAAAUAUUAGGGAAAAGGUAUUGCUUUAAAGGGCAAGGAAACCCUGAACAUUUUAAACUGACCAACAAAUUUCUUCUUUAGGAGUGGCUUUAGCCUUAGGCCAAAGUGAUUUGAGGCAAGGAUAAGAAAGGCUAAAUUGGAGCAAAAAAAAUAGAAAAGGG